GUGGGGAAUAUUCCGCAAUGGACGAAAGUCUGACGGAGCAACGCCGCGUGAGUGAUGAAGGUUUUCGGACUGUAAAGCUCUGUUGUUUGGGACGAAAGUGCCUGUUGCGAACAGUUACGGGUAUUGACGGUACUAAACGAGGAAGCCACGGCUAACUACGUGCCAGCAGCCGCGGUAAUACGUAGGUGGCAAGCGUUGUCCGGAAUUAUUGGGCGUAAAGGGCAUGUAGGCGGGAAUCUAAGUCUGUUGUUAAAAUGCGGGGCUCAACCCCGUAUUGCGAUGGAAACUGGGUUUCUUGAGUGCAGGAGAGGAAAGGGGAAUUCCCAGUGUAGCGGUGAAAUGCGUAGAUAUUGGGAGGAACACCAGUGGCGAAGGCGCCUUUCUGGACUGUGUCUGACGCUGAGAUGCGAAAGCCAGGGUAGCGAACGGGAUUAGAAACCCGUGUAGUCC
This 450-nucleotide ribosomal RNA is filed under the name uncultured bacterium. RNAcentral's name for it is "partial 16S ribosomal RNA". It matches the Rfam family "Bacterial small subunit ribosomal RNA", at positions 354 to 796 of the family's 1533-position model. The record is from RNAcentral.